UCCCUGAAGCUCAGAAGAGAGGCCCCCUGCUCACUUGUCCCCCAAUUCCCUCUCCGCAGGUCACACCUGGGCGACCCUCCCGCGCACACCCAGCCAGAGCCUCCCGGACCCAAAUCCCAGACGGAGCUGUAUGAGAACGUGGGGCUGGGAUACGCAGCAGGGGGCGCCGAUCCUGCCCGGUUGUGAUGGCCCCGUUGGCCCCUGUGGCGUGAUCGCCGCCCCUCAAGCCCUGUGCUGGGGUCCGGGCGGGGCCGCAGCAUGUCAACACCCAGCGCCCCCCACAGAGCGGGGUCAGAGUCUCCCUGAGGGCACCAGGGGCUUUCCAAGGAGAAGAGGUGGAAGAGGAACCCAGGCAUCCGGCUCCCCACCUUCCCCACCCCCAUGGGGGCUGGGGUGACAGAUGGGGCCUGGGCAGUUGGGGGGGUUGGAGCGGAGAAUAAAGAGAACAGAGCAGCAUU
Non-coding RNA from Chelonoidis abingdonii (Abingdon island giant tortoise), 458 nucleotides. Lineage: Eukaryota; Metazoa; Chordata; Testudines; Testudinidae. The record is from RefSeq and is a predicted model, not a curated record.